AUAUUUCUUCUAAAGCUAAAUACCGGCCAGAGACCGAUAGCGAACAAGUAGAGUGAUCGAAAGAUGAAAAGCACUUUGAAAAGAGGGUUAAACAGCACGUGAAAUUGUUAAAAGGGAAGCGCUUGUGACCAGACUUGCGUCCGGUGAAUCACCCAGCUCUCGCGGCUGGGGCACUUCGCCGGCUCAGGCCAGCAUCAGCUCGCUGUCGGGGACAAAAGCUUCAGGAACGUAGCUCUCUUCGGGGAGUGUUAUAGCCUGUUGCAUAAUACCCUUCGGCGGGCUGAGGUACGCGCUCCGCAAGGAUGCUGGCAUAAUGGUCAUCAGC
Molecule: ribosomal RNA, 325 nt
Filed under: Colletotrichum aenigma
Lineage: Eukaryota; Fungi; Ascomycota; Sordariomycetes; Glomerellales; Glomerellaceae
Description: partial large subunit ribosomal RNA
Rfam family: Eukaryotic large subunit ribosomal RNA
Source: RNAcentral